AUUGAACGCUGGCGGCAGGCCUAACACAUGCGAGUCGAGCGGAUGAAGGGAGCUUGCUCCUGGAUUCAGCGGCGGACGGGUGAGUAAUGCCUAGGAAUCUGCCUGGUAGUGGGGGAUAACGUCCGGAAACGGGCGCUAAUACCGCAUACGUCCUGAGGGAGAAAGUGGGGGAUCUUCGGACCUCACGCUACCAGAUGAGCCUAGGUCGGAUUAGCUAGUUGGUGGGGUAAAGGCCUACCAGGGCGACGAUCCGUAACUGGUCUGAGAGGAUGAUCAGUCACACUGGAACUGAGACACGGUCCAGACUCCUACGGGAGGCAGCAGUGGGGAAUAUUGGACAAUGGGCGAAAGCCUGAUCCAGCCAUGCCGCGUGUGUGAAGAAGGUCUUCGGAUUGUAGAGCACUUUAAGUUGGGAGGAAGGGCAGUAAGUUAAUACCUUGCUGUUUUGACGUUACCAACAGAAUAAGCACCGGCUAACUUCGUG
RNAcentral lists this ribosomal RNA (484 nucleotides) under uncultured bacterium. Its description in RNAcentral is "partial 16S ribosomal RNA". It matches the Rfam family "Bacterial small subunit ribosomal RNA", at positions 30 to 507 of the family's 1533-position model. The record is from RNAcentral.